Molecule: small RNA, 81 nt
Filed under: Sinorhizobium meliloti 2011
Lineage: Bacteria; Pseudomonadati; Pseudomonadota; Alphaproteobacteria; Hyphomicrobiales; Rhizobiaceae
Description: putative ncRNA
Source: RNAcentral
AAUAAGAGGCGGGACGGGCCCUGCGUUUUUGCUGCCGGAUUUACCGUCGCCGGCACCACAUUCGUGCGUAAAUCUCGGAUC